GCCGAUGUAGCUCAGUGGUAGAGCAACGGUAUCGUAAACCGUAGGUCGCGGGUUCAAAUCCCGCCGUCGGCU
RNAcentral lists this transfer RNA (72 nucleotides) under Candidatus Uhrbacteria bacterium. RNAcentral's name for it is "tRNA-Thr". It matches the Rfam family "tRNA". From Rfam's summary of the family: Transfer RNA (tRNA) molecules are approximately 80 nucleotides in length. Lineage: Bacteria; Candidatus Uhriibacteriota. The record is from RNAcentral.